This 2347-nucleotide long non-coding RNA is filed under the name Oncorhynchus kisutch (coho salmon). Its description in RNAcentral is "lncRNA (ENSOKIG00005029757.1)". Lineage: Eukaryota; Metazoa; Chordata; Actinopteri; Salmoniformes; Salmonidae. The record is from RNAcentral.
CUCAGGGAGAGAGUGGCAGAGUCAGGAGUCAGACCUGAGCCAACUCUCCCUGUUAAUCGUGAGGAGCAGCGAUCAAAGGACUUCUGGACUUGGGAGGAGAUAUUGGACGGUAAAGGACCCUGGGCUCAGCCUGGAGAAUAUCGCCGCCCCAAGGAAGAACUGGAGGCGAUGAAAGCGGAGAGGCGCUGGUAUGAGGAGGCAGCACGGCGACGCGGAUGGAAGCCUGAGAGUCGGCCCCAAAAAUGUAUUGGGGGGGGGGCUUACAGGGAGUAUGGCUAUGCCAGGUAGGAGACCUGCGCAAACUCCCUGUGCUUACCGGGGGUCUAGAGAGACCGGGCAGGCACCGUGUUAUGCUAUGGAGCGCACAGUGUUUCCAGUGCGGGUGCAUAGCCCGGUGCGGUUCAUACCAGCUCUUCGUAUUGGCCGGGCUAGAGUGGGCAUCGAGCCAGGUAAGGUUGGGCAGGCUCGGUGCUCAAGAGCUCCAGUGCGCCUGCACGGUCCGGUCUAUCCAGAGCCACCUCCAAACACCAGUCCGCCGGUGGCAGCUCCCCGCACCAGGCUUCCUGGGCGUGUCCUCGAUCCAGUACCACCAGUUCCAGCACCACGCACCAGGCCUUCAGUGCGCCUCGCCUGUUCAGCACAGCCAGAGCCUUCCUUCCCUCUAGCGCUGUCGGAGCCUCCCGCCUGUUCAGCGCAGCCAGCGUUUUCCUCCUCUCCUGCGCUGUCGGAGUCUCCCGCCUGUUCAGCGCUUCCAGAGCCUUCCUCCUCUACAGCGCUGCCGGAGCCUCCUGCCUGUUCGGAGCAGCCUGAGCUGCCAGACUGCAUGGAGCAGCCUGAGCUGUCAGUCUGCAUGGAGCAGCCUGAGCUGUCAGUCUGCAUGGAGCAGCCUGACCUGUCAAUCUGCAUAGAGCUGCCAGUCUGCAUGGAGCAGCCAAAGCUGCCAGUCUGCAUGGAGCAGCCAGAGCUGCCAGUUUGCAUGGAGCAGCCAGAGCUGUCAGUCUGCAUAGAGCUGCCAGUCUGCAUGGAGCAGCCAAAGCUGCCAGUCUGCAUGGAGCAGCCAGAGAUGCCAGUUUGCAUGGAGCAGCCAGAGCUGUCAGUCUGCAUGGAGCAGCCAAAGCUGCCAGUCUGCAUGGAGCAGCCAGAGCUGCCAGUUUGCAUGGAGCAGCCAGAGCUGUCAGUCUGCAUAGAGCUGCCAGUCUGCAUGGAGCAGCCAAAGCUGCCAGUUUGCAUGGAGCAGCCAGAGCUGCCAGUCUGCAUGGAGCAGCCAGAGCAGCUAGAUCCGCCAGUCAGCCAUGAUCUUCCAGAUCUGCCAGUCAACCAGAUUCUUCCAGAUCUGCCAGUCAGCCAUGAUCUUCCAGAUCUGCCAGUCAACCAGACUCUUCCAGAUCCGCCAGCCAGCCAGGAUCUGCCGGAGCCAACUACCUGCCUGAGCUUCAUCUCAGUACUGGGCUUCCUCUCAGUACUGGGCUUCCUCUCAGUACUGGGCUUCCUCUCAGUACUGGGCUUCCUCUCAGUACUGGGCUUCCCCUCAGUACUGGGCUUCCCCUCAGUCCCGGGCUUCCCCUCAGUCCCGAGCUGCCCCUCAGUCCCGAGCUGCCCCUCAGUUCCGAGCUGCCCCUCAGUCCCGAGCUGCCCCUCAGUCCCGAGCUGCCCCUCAGUCCCGAGCUGCCCCUCAGUCACGAGCUGCCCCUCAGUCACGAGCUGCCCCUCAGUCCCGAGCUGCCCCUCAGUCACGAGCUGCCCCUCAGUCACGAGCUGCCCCUCAGUCACGAGCUGCCCCUCAGUCACGAGCUGCCCCUCAGUCCAGUGGGGUUCUGGGUGAGGACUAUUAGGCCAUGGUCGGCGGCGAGGGUGGAUUAUCCCAGGACGCGAAGGGGAGGAACUAUGACAUUAAUGGAGUGGGGUCCACGUCCCGAGCCGGAGCCGCCACCAUGGACAGACGCCCACCCGGACCCUCCCUAUGGUUUUGAGGUGCGUCCGGGAGUCCACACCUUAGGGGGGGGGGGGUUCUGUCACGCCUUGGUCAUAGUAUUUUGUGUUUUCGUUAUAUAUUUGGUCAGGCAAGGGUGUGACAUGGGUUUAUUUUGUUGUGUUUCGUAUUGGGGUUUUGUAGGCAUUGGGAUUGCGGUUGAGUAGGGGUGUAGCAUAGGUUUGGCUGCCUGAGGCGGUUCUCAAUCAGAGUCAGGUGAUUCUCGUUGUCUCUGAUUGGGAACCAUAUUUAGGUAGCCGGGGUUUCACUGUGUAUUUUGUGGGUGAUUGUUCCUGUCUUUGUGUUUGCACCAAAUAGGGCUGUUUCGGUUUUCACAUUACGUUUAUUGUUUUUGUAAGUUCGUGUUUCUUUAUUAUU